AGGACAUAAAAUUAUAUGUACAUUAAUAGUACACAGAGUAUGUGGAUUUGUUAUACAGUAAUAGUCGUCGCUCACCUUUGAUUGGCUGUGAGAGUGAUGUUGCCAUUGAUCACCUGACCCGAGUUAACCAGUACAGGCCGAGCACAUUAAGAGGCUGUGGUUUGGUCAGAGAUAAGUGACUCACUGAGAUCCACAGAACGCCACAUCAAACCAGAAUGCUAGCCCGUGCAUUAUGCCAGUGGACCAGAGGGUAAAGGUCAGAGGGAUGGAGAUUCUGUGGGAGGGGCAAUAUGACACUACAUGUCCUAUAGACUUGCACACACACGUGUCACAAUAGUAUACAAUACAACAAGUAUUGAUUAAUAGCUACUAUUACUAGUGAGUUGCUUACUUGUGCAGAUCAGUUUCGUUGGUUGUCAGGAAGUCAGUAGUGUGAGCCACAGGCUUGGCCAUCACCAUGCGCACAUCAAACAUAUCCUGCAAACACACAAAAUUCAUACAGAAUGCUCACCAGAACUGGUUGUCUGAAGUAUUCCUCCAGAGCUGUGGAGGAGAGGGACGUAAGGUUGACGCCAUGGAAACUAGUCUGAGUCCUGGGAGGAGGAGGGAGGGACAGAGCUUUCAGAAAAUCAGAAAUCAAUGUGAUUGGACAAACGGAAAUAAAGUUAUCGCCGUUCAAAGACCCUUCAUUUAACGCUGAGUACUAGAGGUUGGCUCUGUAACUAGAGUUCUGGUAGUCCAAUAUAAACUAUGUCAUGCUCAGAGCUCACCAGAAGGUUGCCUUGUUGUACUGCUCUAUAUAGAGCGCCUCGUCAGUGAAUGGUGCCAGGUACAGAACACCUUUAGAGGGAAACAUGUUCCCGUCUGGUUUCAGCCAUUUCUUGGCAUGCAGGAAUGUCAACCUAUAACACACAAAGAGAAGCAAGUGUCAUCAUUCUGUGUACUGUACUUCAACAGUUGAGAGUGCAGUCAACCAUGAUCACCUUAUUCACACACAGUGUGUGUACUUUGCUAAUGGACUAAUCAGUGGUCAUUGGUCAUGAUUGGCUGCUGUUAGCUAUCAAUCAAAACAGGCUCAUUUCGGAGAAGAUAAAAAGAUGAUACAUGUCC
Molecule: long non-coding RNA, 1110 nt
Organism: Halichondria panicea
Lineage: Eukaryota; Metazoa; Porifera; Demospongiae; Suberitida; Halichondriidae
Exons: 5
Source: RefSeq, a predicted model, not a curated record